AUGUUGCUCUACAGUCUCACCUGGCAUGUUGCGCUACAGUCUCACCUGGCAUGUUGUUCUACAGAAUCAGUCUCACCUGGCAUGUUGUUCUACAGAAUCAGUCCCACCUGGCAUGUUGUUCUACAGUCUCACCUGGCAUGUUGUUCUACAGUCUCACCUGGCAUGUUGUUCUACAGAAUCAGUCUCACCUGGCAUGUUGUUCUACAGUCUCACCUGGCAUGUUGUUCUACAGUCUCACCUGGUAUGUUGUUCUACAGUCUCACCUGGCAUGUUGUUCUACAGAAUCAGUCUCACCUGGCAUGUUGUUCUACAGUCUCACCUGGCAUGUUGUUCUACAGAAUCAGUCUCACCUGGCAUGUUGUUCUACAGUCUCACCUGGCAUGUUGUUCUACAGUCUCACCUGGCAUGUUGUUCUACAGAAUCAGUCUCACCUGGCAUGUUGUUCUACAGAAUCAGUCUCACCUGGCAUGUUGUUCUACAGAAUCAGUCUCACCUGACAUGUUGUUCUACAGUCUCACCUGGCAUGUUGUUCUACAGUCUACCUGGCAUGUUGUUCUACAGAAUCAGUCUCACCUGACAUGUUGUUCUACAGUCUCACCUGGCAUGUUGUUCUACAGAAUCAGUCUCACCUGGCAUGUUGUUCUACAGUCUCACCUGGCAUGUUGUUCUACAGAAUCAGUCUCACCUGACAUGUUGUUCUACAGUCUCACCUGGCAUGUUGUUCUACAGUCUCACCUGGCAUGUUGUUCUACAGUCUACCUGGCAUGUUGUUCUACAGAAUCAGUCUCACCUGGCAUGUUGUUCUACAGAAUCAGUCUCACCUGGCAUGUUGUUCUACAGUCUCACCUGGCAUGUUGUUCUACAGUCUCACCUGGCAUGUUGUUCUACAGAAUCAGUCUCACCUGGCAUGUUGUUCUACAGUCUCACCUGGCAUGUUGUUCUACAGUCUCACCUGGCAUGUUGUUCUACAGAAUCAGUCUCACCUGGCAUGUUGUUCUACAGUCUCACCUGGCAUGUUGUUCUACAGUCUCACCUGGCAUGUUGUUCUACAGUCUCACCUGGCAUGUUGUUCUACAGAAUCAGUCUCACCUGGCAUGUUGUUCUACAGAAUCAGUCUCACCUGGCAUGUUGUUCUACAGAAUCAGUCUCACCAGGCAUGUUGUUCUACAGAAUCAGUCUCACCUGGCAUGUUGUUCUACAGAAUCAGUCUCACCUGGCAUGUUGUUCUACAGAAUCAGUCUCACCUGGCAUGUUGUUCUACAGUCUCACCUGGCAUGUUGCUCUUCCAGUACGGAGUCUUUGAUCUUAAUCUCCUGCUGGAGCUCCAAUACCUGGUAG
This 1338-nucleotide long non-coding RNA is filed under the name Oncorhynchus mykiss (rainbow trout). RNAcentral's name for it is "lncRNA (ENSOMYG00000067972.1)". The record is from RNAcentral. Lineage: Eukaryota; Metazoa; Chordata; Actinopteri; Salmoniformes; Salmonidae.